AACCAUAGAAACCUGCGGAGUACCUGCGGAAGGAUCAUUACAGAGUUCAUGCCCUCACGGGUAGAUCUUCCACCCUUGAAUACUAUACCUUUGUUGCUUUGGCGGGCCGCUUUGGCUACUGGCUCUGGCUAGUAAGUGCCCGCCAAAGAACCCCAAAACUCUGAAUAUUAGUGUCGUCUGAGUACUAUAUAAUAGUUAAAACUUUUAGCAAUGGAUCU
This 218-nucleotide unclassified non-coding RNA is filed under the name soil metagenome. Its description in RNAcentral is "partial contains 5.8S ribosomal RNA, internal transcribed spacer 2, and large subunit ribosomal RNA". The record is from RNAcentral.